RNAcentral lists this transfer RNA (62 nucleotides) under Coccidophilus cariba. RNAcentral's name for it is "tRNA-Cys". The record is from RNAcentral. Lineage: Eukaryota; Metazoa; Arthropoda; Insecta; Coleoptera; Coccinellidae.
AGUCUUGUAUUCAAUUAUGAUUGUAAAUUGCAAAUUUACAGGUAAGUUUAACUUUAAGGCUU